RNAcentral lists this unclassified non-coding RNA (255 nucleotides) under Hevea brasiliensis (rubber tree). The record is from RNAcentral. Lineage: Eukaryota; Viridiplantae; Streptophyta; Magnoliopsida; Malpighiales; Euphorbiaceae.
GCUAAAAGAAUAUUUGGUUACAAAGCAAAAGACUGCCUGAAUGGAUUCUCUGUUGUUGACUCCAUCUUUCAAAGAGAAAAGCUUCUUCACUUUUACGCUCCAGAUACUCGUCAACAUCUUGCUGUGGCCUUCUUGUUGUUCCAUCUGAUGAAAAUUGACUAUAAUAACUUCCAAUUUCUCCAAAUCUAUUCCCCUCAAUAUUUGAGGAUUGGCCAUCGAGAAGUCCUGGGCUCCAACUCCCACGGCUACUAAUGG